UUUUUUAAGUUAGAAAGUUUUGGUGAAUCAUAGAGGAUAGAACAUCGAAAGAUGUAUUUAUAAUUAAGUAAGGUGAAUAGUGAAUACCUUUCCAAAUCAUGCCUUUUUCAAUCGACGCACUUCUUUCCGAAAUCUCAAAACCAAUAUAAACCGAACCGAAAAUCAAUUGUAAUUUCAAAUCCAUGUAAACCGAACCGAAAUCAAUUGAAAUUUCAAACCAUGUAAACCGAACCGAAAUUGUUUGCAUCUUCUCGCCGGUUGGUAACAGAAUCAUGUUCAAGAAACUGUGAGCAAGAAACUAUUUCUGGUAGAAGAGGACGAAUCAGGUACUGACUCUGCUGGAAUGUACAAAUCGCUAAGUUCAUGUUUGGAGAAAAAAGAAGAUGAAGCAGAACCGGAGAAGGUAGUAGUAACUUUGAAAGCAAUCGUUAGGAAGCAAGACAUAAAUAUUUUAUUCGUUGAAUGCGGAGAGGAAUUUGUUGAGCUUCUUUUAUCUUUUCUUGCUGUCCCGCUUAAAUCUGUAUGGGAAAUCUCUGGCAGCGGUAUCUCUUUAGGUUGCAUUGGAAACUUGUGUAGAAGCUUCAGUGACUUAAACGCUAAUAAGGGGACUGAACUGUCAACUUCAACAUGCGCAUUACCGUCUUUUUAUAGAUUCCAGAUGCAGGUGCCCCGUAUCAUCACUCAACAACCUCCAGUAUACUACCGCUACACCGAUUGCAGGCAAGUGAGCUAUGGAUGGUGUGACUACAAACGGUAAUCGAACUCCUUGUUAGCGCAAGGACAGAAUCGUUCGGGUGGAUUUGAUGGAUCCCAAAUCCCGUGGCAGUGAUAAGUCUACUCAUGGGUUCUUGAAGAAAGAGACAAAGUUUACUGUCUUAGAUGAUCUGACCAUUACAUCUAUGAACUCCUGCUCCUCAGUUUGCUUACUAAAGAAGUUACAGAGUCACGCAGACGAUCUAGAGGUGCAAGUAGUUAGCAUUAGCAAUGCAGAGGUAUGCUUCUACAUACCCUUUUUGAUCCUCUUUAAUUGAUAGGAACUUGACUGAAACUGUCAUUGAAUUUGUUGAGAGCUUCCUCUGCUUUGAGCACGGCACUAUGGAAUUUGAUUGCUGAUAAACUGAAGGAGGAGACUGAUUUAUGGAAUCCGGUUUCAAAGAAGGUGAAGGAAGAGACUUGAAGAAAAAAUACAGAGCUAGUGAGAAUGACCUCUUAAGUUGCUACUAAUCAAUUGUUGAUUAUGUUUUUAGAAUUCUGCAAGAUCUACAUUAUAUUCCUCAUGUGUUCUUAUUAGUGGAUUUCCAAGCUUUUUCUUUCUUUGUAUGACUAAUCAAAUUAUUGAGUUUUA
Molecule: long non-coding RNA, 1345 nt
Organism: Arabidopsis lyrata subsp. lyrata
Lineage: Eukaryota; Viridiplantae; Streptophyta; Magnoliopsida; Brassicales; Brassicaceae
Exons: 2
Source: RefSeq, a predicted model, not a curated record